RNAcentral lists this ribosomal RNA (564 nucleotides) under uncultured bacterium. RNAcentral describes it as "partial 16S ribosomal RNA". It matches the Rfam family "Bacterial small subunit ribosomal RNA", at positions 355 to 912 of the family's 1533-position model. The record is from RNAcentral.
UGGGGAAUUUUGGACAAUGGGCGAAAGCCUGAUCCAGCAAUGCCGCGUGUGUGAAGAAGGCCUUCAGGUUGUAAAGCACUUUUGUCCGGAAAGAAAUCCUUGGCUCUAAUACAGUCGGGGGAUGACGGUACCGGAAGAAUAAGCACCGGCUAACUACGUGCCAGCAGCCGCGGUAAUACGUAGGGUGCAAGCGUUAAUCGGAAUUACUGGGCGUAAAGCGUGCGCAGGCGGUUUGCUAAGACCGAUGUGAAAUCCCCGGGCUCAACCUGGGAACUGCAUUGGUGACUGGCAGGCUAGAGUAUGGCAGAGGGGGGUAGAAUUCCACGUGUAGCAGUGAAAUGCGUAGAGAUGUGGAGGAAUACCGAUGGCGAAGGCAGCCCCCUGGGCCAAUACUGACGCUCAUGCACGAAAGCGUGGGGAGCAAACAGGAUUAGAUACCCUGGUAGUCCACGCCCUAAACGAUGUCAACUAGUUGUUGGGGAUUCAUUUCCUUAGUAACGUAGCUAACGCGUGAAGUUGACCGCCUGGGGAGUACGGUCGCAAGAUUAAAACUCAAAGGAAUUG